GGAGUAUAAGCAGUCAAAGUAUAAAUGGUCGUGUGUUUCUUCAGUGUCUCUUCCACAUAAAAUGCAGGAUUAAUUAAUGUGAAUUCCCCAUUUAGCUAACCUGUCAACUGUUGCUAAGCGUCUAUGCAGCGCCAUCCAUAAGAUGUAUUUCUGUUUCGGGAGCAUGCCAGUCACGAUCAAUAAUUUUUUCCAUCGAACCUCGGGAUUUUGUGGGGUGGUGUGAAUGUAUGCCUUCCUGAGGCUAAAUUGCCCAAUUUUUGUACAUGUUUGCAUUCCUGUUCCGUCAGUUGCCCACCAUUCUCUUGCGCCAAACAAUUUCCUAACGAGCCAGCUAGCUUGUUUAGGAAUUACCAUAGUAUUAAUGUCUUUUUUCUUUAUGUAGUUACAAUGGAUCCAUUUGAUCCGGAGUUUGUCUUUCUUAGACAUUAAGGCCCAGAGAAGUUUUGAUAGUGCCGCUUU
This 459-nucleotide long non-coding RNA is filed under the name Nicotiana benthamiana. Its description in RNAcentral is "long non-coding RNA (NBEN_LNC033316)". Lineage: Eukaryota; Viridiplantae; Streptophyta; Magnoliopsida; Solanales; Solanaceae. The record is from RNAcentral.